Ananas comosus (pineapple) is the source of this 1580-nucleotide long non-coding RNA. RefSeq lists it as uncharacterized. NCBI's taxonomy places the organism in Eukaryota, Viridiplantae, Streptophyta, Magnoliopsida, Poales, Bromeliaceae. The transcript is spliced from 2 exons. The record is from RefSeq and is a predicted model, not a curated record.
AAAUAUGCCACUCCUCUUUUAUUCCCCCAUUUGAUUUAAUUUAAUUGAGUAAUUAAUCGAGGAUAAUAAUUAACACUAACUACGCUUCGUUAGUGUUAAUCCGGAUGCGAACAACACUCUGAACCGAGGGCCGUUGUUUCUCGGGCGUCUGGAUCGAACGGUUGAAAUGUAAGGAGAGUAGGGCUGAUAGUGUGUCUGAGGAGCCGAGCCUCGUUGGCGCGGUGCGUCGGGUAGCGAAGGAAGGUUCGCUCCGUUUUAGAUUCGAAGCACAGUGUGGGGUUUUUGAGGGUGCACGGCGACAACGCGAGGCCUCCCCCACCCUCCUACCACACCCCCCUCUCUCCUCUUCUGAAAACACUGUCGCAUGCGAGCGUAUGCCUCCCACUCACCCACUCACCCACUCACUCACUUUUGUGUGAUGUUCCGCUCGUACAUCGAUCACACUCUGAGUCCGCACGAUAGCCCAUCAUUUUUUCACCUUGUGAUGGAUCAUCUCACCUUGAUCAUCAAACUUUUCGGUUGGAGAUUAUAAUUUGAGACGCGAUUUACUUUAGUCCUCGUCCAAUUCGUGACGACUCAGUCGUCGAUUGUAGGCUUUUUGUUAGGUUGUUGGAUGCAAGAUGCCAGAUAGAUAGAGGAGGUAUGUAGAUUCGAUAGAUUUGUACUGUAGAGGAUAUGCAUUAUGUAUUAGGGUUAUAUCUUUCUCUCUGCUACUAAAGUGAAAUUUGAUCCAGAUUAGGACCAAAUAGGGGGGGGGGGGCUGUAACUUGCACAGUCGCCGAUACUGCUUUUUUAGGGCUUUUAUUAUUUUUUUUUGGUCUCAUUUGUGGCCUAACUUAUGCUAGCUUGAUAUUUCUAUCUUUCAUCCCAAUCUGAGACUGUUUGUUGAGUAGAAUAUUUCAAUUCUUUCACACCAAAUAAUUUUCUUGUUUUAGAAAGGCUCUAUUAAGAUGGUAACCUUGGAUUAAUAAAUGUAGGCAAUCCCAAUGAUGAAAUGGGAUCAUUCUAAAAUAAGAAAGCUAUUAGCUGUAUCUUUGUGGAUCUGAGCUUGCACGGAUCUUUUUUAGUGGCUCUCUCUUUAUAGCCCUCUUAAUCACCAAGUUUAUUGAGUCACUUUUGGCAUGAUCUUUUAUUAGGUGAUGACCUUGAUUUUUUGUCCAAAUAUCAUCUAGCUGUAUGGACAGAGCUUUUGUUUGGCGUAAGUAGAAAGUAUGAUAAGGAAAUUGUCGCUAAUUGGCUGAUAGUUUUGUUCUAAAGUUUGAUUGGCCUGUGAUUGAUUUUAUUGGAGCGGGAAAAAUUGGUAGCAGUAAACAACUCUUAUUUUGGCUUGGACUAGCUUAACUUUUGAAAAUCGAUUCACCUUUAUUCUAAUUACAAAACAUGGUUAGUAAUUGAUUGGUGUUGACACCCGAAAGGAUGUCAUUUGGAGUUCUUGGCUAAGAUGAUCUUUUUUGUGGAUUUUGUUAUUGUUUGGCGAUAUUUUAUCAACUAUCAAAAUUAGUUCUCGCGUGAUUAAAGUUUUAUGUAAUAGCUUUUUUAUAAUUCAAGAAUCAUCUAUGGCUUUCCAUUGUGGCCAAAAA